Long non-coding RNA from Schistocerca gregaria, 957 nucleotides. RefSeq lists it as uncharacterized. Lineage: Eukaryota; Metazoa; Arthropoda; Insecta; Orthoptera; Acrididae. The transcript is spliced from 3 exons. The record is from RefSeq and is a predicted model, not a curated record.
CAAUCACAUUGUGUUCUGGGGAAGUGAAAAGUGUUUUACUGCGUUAUUUGUGAAAAAUACUUUUUAUAAUUACGUGUGCAUCAUAACAUCUCAGCCUUAUGUGGAGAAUGGAAGUACUUGCCACACGAAAACCCUUUCUCCAGAAUGUUAUGCCAUCAGAGAGUGGAAGUAUGCAAAAUACAACAACAUUAUUAUUUCCCUACCAACACAGGUACAGUGAACAAUUAUUGUCUCUACAGAUACAAAUUGAAAUAUGCCCAUGGAGGGUAAAGUUACUUUUCAUAGGCAAGUACCACAAAAGUCUAAUUAUGGUUAUUACAUCAGUAAUUGUUCUUUAUUUGUCGAAAAAUAUCUAUAUACAACGUAAUAAAGAAUUGACAUUGUAGGUGUAAUUUGUGUGACUGCAUAGAGUAAUAGUGUGCUGUUAUUCAGUUUGUUAUGUAUGCGAUCUAGAGCUAUAUUCAAGUACUUAUUAUACAAAUUUCCAAAUGUUUGUCUUUAUUAUAAAGCAGUCACCACACUAUAUACUAGUACUUAUAUCAGGGAGAAUUGUUAUCUGCAGUUAAUAUUUUAUUUUCCCUAAGCAUGAACGAUGAUUACAAAUGCAGAACAAGAAAAUAAAAAUGGAAAAUUUCUUUCCUAAAAUGAUUCAGAGUGUGUUAAGAACACUUUACACAUGACCAUUUUCAUUUGGAGAGGUUUAUUGUGUGUUUGUGUGUGUGUGUGUGUGUGUGUGUGUGUGUGUGAACUCUUGUCUAUUAGUACCAUAACAUACAUCAUCUAAAUAAUUUAAGAACAGGAGACAUGUCAAAUAUUUGUAGUAAAAUGUUUAUGUUGCACAUUUAUUCAGCUUUUGUCUAAUAACUCUUCUGAUAUGGGUGUCAAAAAAUGUACCAAUAAAUAUGGGAAAACGUAAAAUAUUGUUGUAUAUUUGCUAUUAUAAAGAGAAAAGUUAAU